UCGAAACCUGCAUAGCAGAACAACAAGUGAACAUGUUAUUAUCAUGCAAGGGGGAGGGGUGAUGGCUUGCCUAGUCCCUUUCUCUAAUGUCAUGUGACUUUCCGUUGUGAUUGUUGCAAGGCACAAGAACCAACCCCCGGCGCGUUAUGCGUCAAGGAAUAUAAUAAAGAGUUUGCCUAUCCUGUACCGGGUUUCCGGCAUAUGGGUGUGGCACCAAUGUAAGUCAUGAAAUGA
RNAcentral lists this unclassified non-coding RNA (234 nucleotides) under Gomphrena meyeniana. RNAcentral's name for it is "ITS1". The record is from RNAcentral. Lineage: Eukaryota; Viridiplantae; Streptophyta; Magnoliopsida; Caryophyllales; Amaranthaceae.